CCAGGAAGCAAUUUUUGUUUACUUUUAAAAUGCCAACCUCUGUAAAUAGUAAUUUAUUUUGAGUAAACAUUGAGUGAGAAAUAAAGCCACAGAAUACAUUCAUACCACUCAAAUUCAGCCAGUCAGAAUGAUGGGAAGGAUUGCAGAACUGAGUUUCACUCUCACCUGACUGAUGCAGAUUCAGUAACCUAAUUGCUCAUGAUGGUUUCUGAGAAAAAAACAGCUUGGUGUAAUUUGACAGUAUUUUUCAGUAUUUGACAGUGGUUCUAUCAUGCAACAGUCAUACCAUGAAGUGUCUCACAGAUUCUCUCUCAAUUCCUGCAAUAUCCAAGAUUACAGUGUAGUGCAAACGGGAUUAAUUUUCUUGCAAUAAGAAGUAUCUGCACUUCCAAAUACCCCUGUACAGCAUGAACAGUUCCUUCAGUUUUUGAGUGAUUAUAGAGUGAAAAUGUUUCCAUAUAAAAUGUUUUCUUUUUAUGUGUAAAACUUGUUAUGAAUGGUUACAAAUACAUGCAUGGACAUUAUGAUUCCAAAUCUAUGCACAUUUUGAUUCCAAUAAUUAACAACAAAAGUAUUUUGAAUUUGGUUUGAAACAGAAAUAUUGUCAUUUUGUUUGUUUCUAAACAGUAAGUGGUAUUAUUCGUGUUUAUAGUUUCCAUGUUAAUUUAAAAAAAAGUCAGUUCUUUUAAAGAUGCACUCUUACUCCCACAUAAGAUUUACCACAAUUGAUACUUUUGUUUUAUUAUUCCAAAAAGGAUGAAUAAAUGUUGAAAACAAUGGUUCUAAUGAAGGAUGCCUACUUCUACUUGAAGGAAAUGUGCAUAAAAGACAGUAUUUCUACCAUUUGAGAUCAUAGUAGAUCACAGUAAAUCUUUAUGCAUUCACCAAUCAUUUAAUAUGUUUGCAUUUUCAGCUUAAAUAUACGGUUACAAUAUUUUUAUCAAUACUUGAUAUUUUCCGAAAAUGAAUUAUUAAGUAAGUUGUUAAAGGGUUAACAGUCAAAGUAUAUGUUUGUUAUACAUGUGUAUGCAUUGAUACUAAAUAAACAGUUGUCAUGGUAACUAUAGAGUCUAGUUUUCUUCAGAAACUGUAAUUGUUGUCUAAAAACCUUUGUAUUUUCAAUGUGGUACUUUUUUAGCAUGUCCGCUUCAGUCAAUGAACUAUUUGUUAUUUGUUAAUCAUUUGGUCAUACUUUGUAUACAAUUAUAUUUAUAAUUUAACCUUGAAAUUGCUGACAAUCUCAUACUUAUAUUGAAAUAUUCAGAAUUGCUCACCUUUAUUACAAUUGUCAGGCAAAUCAUGGCAAGAUAUACAUAAUUCUCAAUUUUAACAAAAAGCGAUGUUUAAAGCAUUUUUUGUAUUUUAUUGAAUGGUUACCAUGGCACCUAAUUUUUUGUUUGCCUUUAAUCUUCCUAUUUAUAAUACUAUUAAUUGUAAAAAUGCAACAGUCAAGCAGUGAAUGGAAGAAUGUAAAUGUUCUUUGUCUUUUACCUUUUUCAAGCUCAUUCUUCAAAAUAUAAAGCAUUUUUAAAA
Long non-coding RNA from Mya arenaria, 1533 nucleotides. RefSeq lists it as uncharacterized. The transcript has 4 exons. Lineage: Eukaryota; Metazoa; Mollusca; Bivalvia; Myida; Myidae. The record is from RefSeq and is a predicted model, not a curated record.